This 483-nucleotide long non-coding RNA is filed under the name Struthio camelus australis. Its description in RNAcentral is "lncRNA (ENSSCUG00000010675.1)". Lineage: Eukaryota; Metazoa; Chordata; Aves; Struthioniformes; Struthionidae. The record is from RNAcentral.
CUGCGGAAUUUCAUACUGUGAAUUUAUAUAAAUUUAUUGUUUUCAAUUAUAGACUUUAAAAAAUAUUAUCAUGCACUUUACCAAGCCAGUAAGAAACCAGCAAACAAGUGUCUACCUACCUCUGUACAUGUGUGCUACUAAUCCUUUAAAGAUCAUCAUUAAUUUUUCUCCCCUUUAUAAUGGAUCUGAGCUUUUUUUUUUGGAUGUGGAUGGAGUUUUGCCAGAAAGGAUUUUGUGGUUUCAUUCAGCAAUAUGAAAACUCGUGUGCUUGUCUCUGCAGAGGAAGAGAGGAAUAUAGCUUCGGUGAGUCCUGGAUGCUGCAUACUCUCUCUACAUGUCUUCGGGUACAGCUCGCAGGCAGUAUGAGGCCAUGUGAACUAACAAUUUAGAAGGGAAGAUCGGAAAAGAACAAAAAGUCAAGGUCCAUUCUCCAUCUCUAGCCUGAAACUCUGAAGCCACCAGUUUCAGAGGACAUCACUCCUU